AAAUGGUAAUUAUAAUAAACUGGUUGCGGGUUCGUUUCAAAAUGAGUUGGGACACGUCUUAGUAUUGUGUGCGAAUGAAAAAAUUGACCGACCGACACUUUAGCGUACAACCUGGACCACCGUGUCUAGAAAUUUGAACGUUUUGCGCGAACGCGGUCCCUUAUACAAUUUAGACAAUCGUAACGAGAGGAUUUUUCAAAAUUCAACCCCCAAGCGGCGCAAAAAUGGUGUCGAAGUUUGUUUACAAUACGAACGGCUGGGUGUAGAAACUCGAAAUUUCGCACAGCGGUUUCUUAUACGACUUGUACAGGGGACCGCCGUAAGAAAAGUCCUUUUUCGAAAGUCCACUAUUAAGAGGUUUAACAGGAGUUAAAAUACAUUAUGUUUGAAAGUUUAAUAACCCAAAACUGUGUGUUUGUGUGCGUGCGGGGAAUUUACCGGUGAACAGUCGAACGCGUUUUUGGCCGAUGUCAGAACCGUAACCCCCCGGGGAGUUGAAAAUAGGUGUCAAAGUUACACGAAGACAAAUUUACAAUGCGCUUAAUAACCCGAAACCCCGGGCAAACAAUCUCAAUCGAGUGUUGAAAACGGGUGUCG
This is a non-coding RNA of Cinara cedri, 597 nucleotides long. Lineage: Eukaryota; Metazoa; Arthropoda; Insecta; Hemiptera; Aphididae. The record is from the annotation of a GenBank genome assembly.